CCUACGGGAGGCAGCAGUGAGGAAUAUUGGUCAAUGGACGAGAGUCUGAACCAGCCAAGCAGCGUGAAGGAUGAAUGUCCUAUGGGUUGUAAACUUCUUUUAUAUGGGAAUAAAAUGUUUAACGUGUCGGAUUUUGUAUGUACCAUAUGAAUAAGGAUCGGCUAACUCCGUGCCAGCAGCCGCGGUAAUACGGAGGAUCCGAGCGUUAUCCGGAUUUAUUGGGCUUAAAGGGAGCGUAGGUGGUUUGUUAAGUCAGUUGUGAAAGUUCGCGGCUCAACCGUAGAAUUGCAGUUGAAACUGGCAGUCUUGAGUACAGUAGAGGUGAGCGGAAUUCGUGGUGUAGCGGUGAAAUGCUUAGAUAUCACGAGGAACACCAGUUGCGAAGGCAGCUCACUGGACUGCAACUGACACUGAGGCUCGAAAGUGUGGGUAGCAAACAGGAUUAGAUACCCGUGUAGUC
This 460-nucleotide ribosomal RNA is filed under the name uncultured bacterium. RNAcentral describes it as "partial 16S ribosomal RNA". It matches the Rfam family "Bacterial small subunit ribosomal RNA", at positions 338 to 795 of the family's 1533-position model. The record is from RNAcentral.